This 584-nucleotide ribosomal RNA is filed under the name uncultured bacterium. Its description in RNAcentral is "partial 16S ribosomal RNA". It matches the Rfam family "Bacterial small subunit ribosomal RNA", at positions 355 to 1375 of the family's 1533-position model. The record is from RNAcentral.
UGGGGAAUUUUGGACAAUGGGCGAAAGCCUGAUCCAGCAAUGCCGCGUGUGUGAAGAAGGCCUUCGGGUUGUAAAGCACUUUUGUCCGGAAAGAAAUCCUUGGCUCUAAUACAGUCGGGGGAUGACGGUACCGGAAGAAUAAGCACCGGCUAACUACGUGCCAGCAGCCGCGGUAAUACGUAGGGUGCAAGCGUUAAUCGGAAUUACUGGGCGUAAAGCGUGCGCAGGCGGUUUGCUAAGACCGAUGUGAAAUCCCCGGGCUCAACCUGGGAACUGCAUUGGUGACUGGCAGGCUAGAGUAUGGCAGAGGGGGGUAGAAUUCCACGUGUAGCAGUGAAAUGCGUAGAGAUGUGGAGAAUACGAUGGCGAAGGCAGCCCCCUGGGCCAAUACUGACGCUCAUGCACGGAAGCGUGGGGAGCAAAACAGGAUUAGAUACCCUGGUAGUCCACGCCCUAAAACGAUGUCAACUAGUUGUUGGGGAUUCAUUUCCUUAGUAACGUAGCUAACGCGUGAAGUUGACCGCCUGGGGAGUACGUCGCAAGAUUAAAACUUAAAGGAAUUGACGGGGUCAUAGCUGUUUCCU